UGUGUAGGCGGGAUAGCAAGUCAGAGGUGAAAUCCUACAGCUCAACUGUAGAACUGCCUUUGAUACUGUUAUUCUUGAGUAUCGGAGAGGUCGCUGGAAUUCGUGGUGUAGCGGUGAAAUGCGUAGAUAUCACGAGGAACUCCAGAGGCGUAGGCGGGCGACUGGACGAUUACUGACGCUGAGGCACGAAAGCGUGGGGAGCAAACAGGAUUAGAUACCCUGGUAGUCC
This 229-nucleotide ribosomal RNA is filed under the name uncultured bacterium. Its description in RNAcentral is "partial 16S ribosomal RNA". It matches the Rfam family "Bacterial small subunit ribosomal RNA", at positions 568 to 796 of the family's 1533-position model. The record is from RNAcentral.